GAUGAAGAACGCAGCGAAAUGCGAUAAGUAGUGUGAAUUGCAGAAUUCAGUGAAUCAUCGAAUCUUUGAACGCACAUUGCGCCCCUCGGUAUUCCGUGGGGCAUGCCUGUUCGAGCGUCAUUUACCCCUCAAGCACUGCUUGGUGUUGGGCGUCUGUCCCGCUUCGCGCGCGGACUCGCCCAAAGGUAUUGGCAGCGGUCGUGCCAGCUUCUCGCGCAGCACAUUGCGCUUCUCGAGGCGGUCGAUCGGCGUCCACGAAGCUCACCUCCACCGUUUGACCUCGGAUCAGGUAGGGAUACCCGCUGAACUUAAGCAUACAAUAAGCGGAGGA
This 331-nucleotide unclassified non-coding RNA is filed under the name soil metagenome. Its description in RNAcentral is "partial contains 5.8S ribosomal RNA, internal transcribed spacer 2, and large subunit ribosomal RNA". The stretch from base 1 to 120 matches the Rfam family "5.8S ribosomal RNA", at positions 35 to 154 of the family's 154-position model. The record is from RNAcentral.